This 291-nucleotide ribosomal RNA is filed under the name uncultured bacterium. Its description in RNAcentral is "partial 16S ribosomal RNA". It matches the Rfam family "Bacterial small subunit ribosomal RNA", at positions 773 to 1060 of the family's 1533-position model. The record is from RNAcentral.
GUGGAUUAGAUACCCUAGUAGUCCACGCAGUAAACGGUGAACACUAGGUGUAGCGGGUAUUGACCCCCGCUGUGCCGAAGCUAACGCAUUAAGUGUUCCGCCUGGGAAGUACGGCCGCAAGGUUAAAACUCAAAGGAAUUGACGGGGGCCCGCACAAGCGGUGGAGCAUGUGGUUUAAUUCGACGCAACGCGAAGAACCUUACCUGGGCUUGACAUCCCGGGAAUCUUCUAGAAAUAGAAGAGUGCCCUUCGGGGAACCCGGAGACAGGUGCUGCACGGCCGUCGCCAACU